UACGUAGGGGGCAAGCGUUGUCCGGAUUUAUUGGGCGUAAAGCGCACGUAGGCGGCUUUUUAAGUCAGGGGUGAAAUCCUGGAGCUCAACUCCAGAACUGCCUUUGAUACUGGCGAUCUCGAGUCCGGGAGAGGUGAGUGGAACUGCGAGUGUAGAGGUGAAAUUCGUAGAUAUUCGCAAGAACACCAGUGGCGAAGGCGGCUCACUGGCCCGGUACUGACGCUGAGGUGCGAAAGCGUGGGGAGCAAACAGG
This 253-nucleotide ribosomal RNA is filed under the name uncultured bacterium. RNAcentral's name for it is "partial 16S ribosomal RNA". It matches the Rfam family "Bacterial small subunit ribosomal RNA", at positions 524 to 776 of the family's 1533-position model. The record is from RNAcentral.